Molecule: ribosomal RNA, 502 nt
Filed under: uncultured bacterium
Lineage: Bacteria
Description: bacterial SSU rRNA
Rfam family: Bacterial small subunit ribosomal RNA
Source: RNAcentral
AGAGUUUGAUCAUGGCUCAGAUUGAACGCUGGCGGCAUGCCUUACACAUACAAGUCGAACGGCAGCACGGGGCAACCUGGUGGCGAGUGGCGAACGGGUGAGUAAUACAUCGGAACGUGCCCAAUCGUGGGGGAUAACGUAGCGAAAGUUACGCUAAUACCGCAUACGAUCUACGGAUGAAAGCGGGGGAUCGCAAGACCUCGCGCCAUUGGAGCGGCCGAUGUCAGAUUAGGUUGUUGGUGGGGUAAAGGCCUACCAAGCCGACGAUCUGUAGCUGGUCUGAGAGGACGACCAGCCACACUGGGACUGAGACACGGCCCAGACUCCUACGGGAGGCAGCAGUGGGGAAUUUUGGACAAUGGGCGCAAGCCUGAUCCAGCCAUGCCGCGUGCGGGAAGAAGGCCUUCGGGUUGUAAACCGCUUUUGUCAGGGAAGAAACGCUCCGGGCUAAUACCUCGGGGUAAUGACGGUACCUGAAGAAUAAGCACCGGCUAACUACGUG